RNAcentral lists this long non-coding RNA (1351 nucleotides) under Sus scrofa (pig). Its description in RNAcentral is "lncRNA (ENSSSCG00050023157.1)". Lineage: Eukaryota; Metazoa; Chordata; Mammalia; Artiodactyla; Suidae. The record is from RNAcentral.
AUGCAACAGACUGCUUCUAUAAGGCUCAGCAUUCUACCCUUGGCUGCCACUUGUGCCUUUCCUGUUCAAAGCCAACAUUCAUUCCUCACUCAGAAAUCUUUGGCGCCUACACACAAAGGGCUGGGGAUGAGAGGCAGGAAUCAGGGUCUGCCCCCAGAGGGUGCUAACUUAGCCUCCAGCAGUUUUAAGCUUUACUUGGAAAGAAAAGCCAGUCUCUCCAGUGAGGGAGGGGCUGAGAUGAACUCCUUCCUCAAGUCCUCUGACUUUCCAAGAAGUCCUGGCUCUGAGCUGCGGGUAAGUUUACAAAACAACAUCUUUUCUUUAGCACUUAGCACCAUGUUUUGCACAUGAGGUGGCACUCGCCCAAUGUUUGUUGAAUGAAUGUGAAUGGAAAUUCAUUUCCUCUGGCAGAUUCACCAAGGCAGUCUCCCUGCUAUGAGAGGGCUCUAACUACAGCCUGCAGAGCAUUUGGACCUAGUUAGGUAGAACAGGAUUUGCUUGGAGCACAAAAGUACCCUUUCUAAAUUCUAGGGUUCACUAGUCUGAGUUACAGAACCAGUCUCCUCUGCGCCCAUCCCUGAUUUACCAAGUGCACUCGAAAUUUUAGACCUUCAGCAAGUACCGAUUACUUGUAUUGCACGCAGCCCUCCCUGAAACUUCUUAGGACUGAAGCACUAAACGGUACUGAGGUAAAAGUUCCAUGACUAGCUGGCACUUGACUGUACAAUCUUAUUUCAUUAUGUUUAAACCUCAAAAUUAGCAUCAGGUAGCCACAAUCUAGUGUGGAAAAAAAAAUUACACCUCCUGAUAAACUCUGAAGGCUAUGUUAUUUCCCUUCUUUUAAAUGAAAUUCUUGUGCUUAUUAUAAAAAAAAAAUUUCUAAAAGAUGAUUUCUCAGAGUGUACUGGAGACCCAUAUCUGUCUGAAAAUUCUUAAAAAUUUUUUUCCAUUUUCUUCCAGAUCUUAGGGGAAAAGCUUUCAGUUUUCCACCCUGGAUUAUGGUGUUGGUGUUGGUUUUUCAUAUAUAGUUGUAUUGUGCUGAGGCAGUCUCCUUCUAUACCUAGUUUUUGUUUUUAAUCCUGAAAAGGUAUUGAAUUUUACCAAAUAAUUUUCUGUAUCAGUGGAAAUAAUCAGGUGUGUUUUUCCCUACAUUCCAUUAUUGUGAUAUAACACUUUGAUCAAUUUUCAUAUUUUGAAUCAUCCUUGCAUUCCAGAAGUUCAUCCCACUUGGUCAUGUUGCGGGAUCCUUUUAAUACGCUUCUGAAUUCAAUUCCCUAGCAUACUGUUGAGGGUUUCCACAUCCAUGUCAUAAAGGAUUUUGUCUGUAGGGGUUUUCUCCUUGCAGAAUCUU